Molecule: ribosomal RNA, 528 nt
Filed under: bacterium enrichment culture clone Cont138_3130
Lineage: Bacteria
Description: bacterial SSU rRNA
Rfam family: Bacterial small subunit ribosomal RNA
Source: RNAcentral
AGAGUUUGAUCAUGGCUCAGAAUGAACGCUGGCGGCGUGCUUAACACAUGCAAGUCGAACGAGAAAAGCCUGAAGCUUGCUUUGGGCGAGUAAAGUGGCGCACGGGUGAGUAGCGCGUGGGUAAUCUAUCUCUGAAUUUGGGAUAACACUUCGAAAGGGGUGCUAAUACCGGAUGAUAUCCAUUGGGCUUUGGUUUGAUGGAUCAAAGAUGGCCGCUUCAUGAAAGCUGUUGUUUGGAGGUGAGCCCGCGUCCCAUUAGUUAGUUGGUAGGGUAAUGGCCUACCAAGGCGGCGAUGGGUAGCUGGUCUGAGAGGAUGAUCAGCCACACUGGAACUGGAACACGGUCCAGACUCCUACGGGAGGCAGCAGUGAGGAAUUUUGCGCAAUGGGGGCAACCCUGACGCAGCAACGCCGCGUGAGGGAUGAAGGUUUUUCGGAUCGUAAACCUCUGUUGUACGGGGAAGAAGAAAGUGACGGUACCGUACGAGGAAAGCCCCGGCAAACUACGUGCCAGCCGCCGCGGUAAUA